This 250-nucleotide ribosomal RNA is filed under the name uncultured bacterium. Its description in RNAcentral is "partial 16S ribosomal RNA". It matches the Rfam family "Bacterial small subunit ribosomal RNA", at positions 525 to 775 of the family's 1533-position model. The record is from RNAcentral.
ACGUAGGUGGCAAGCGUUGUCCGGAAUUACUGGGUGUAAAGGGAGCGUAGGCGGGAAGAUAAGUUGGACGUUUAAUCUAUCGGCUCAACCGAUAGUCGCGUUCAAAACUGUUUUUCUUGAGUGAAGUAGAGGUAAGCGGAAUUCCUAGUGUAGCGGUGAAAUGCGUAAAUAUUAGGAGGAACACCAGUGGCGAAGGCGGCUUACUGGGCUUUAACUGACGCUGAGGCUCGAAAGCGUGGGUAGCAAACAG